CAGAGGUUUUGGUUUUAUUGCAGAGCACAAACUCGGCUUCGUUUCCUUCCUGCUCAUCUUUCAACCCUCCUCAGGUUCUCCUUCCCCAGCCAGCUUUGCUGCGAGCCUCCCCUUCCAAUCCAUCACAAUUCCCGGGUUUAGCAAUGGGAUGUGAGACAGAUCCAGGCAGGAAAACCCCUGGAACAGAAGAACAUUCUCAGCGUCUCUGCAGCUGGGGCUGGGGGAAGCACAGAGGGUGGAAAUUUCCCAGCACGAGAGAAAAAAAAAAGAAGAAGAAAAAGAAAGAAAUUUCAAUUUCCCUGCUAUAAAACCCAGUGGGAAAAGCAAAAAGCAGCAGCACACAGGGUGGUGAGAGGGGCUGGGGACUCGGAGCAGCUCAUUCAUGCCAGGGGAUCCCAGCCAGCACCUGCACAUCGUUCAUCUUCCUUUAUUGUCCUUUUAAUGCAGAGCCGGACACCCCUUUGCAAAGAGACAUUUUCCAGGCCUUCCUGAGGCUUGGGAACGCUGCUGGCCCUGUUUCCCGGCCAGACAAACGGGCCAGGAGAGGGAUUUGGGAGCAGGGAGGGGAUUGAAGUGUUUUCCCCAUCAGAACCUCCCUCGGGCUGUCCCAGGAAAAGCCUUUGUGAUCCAGACCCAGAUUUUCUGGAAUUGCACCUUGGCACUGCCCAGCCCCGAGGAAGCACUGGAGUUUGGUCUGAAAAUCAGGAUUUUCUCCCACUUGCAGGGUAUUUUUGUCCUCACAGCCUUCACCCUGAGCUGUGGGGAGGCAGUGCUGGGACUCCUGGUCCCCAAAUCCCCUUCCCAGUGGGGCCAUGCUGGGAUCCAGCGCCCAGCACAGGGGCAGAGCCCCAUGGAGUGCAGGACUGGCUCAUCCCAGAGGCUGGAAGGGCUGGAUUGGGGAUAAUCCUGUCCCCAGCCCUGGGAGGGGGCAGCAGGUGUGCAGUGACACGUUUGGGGCUAAUCCCUUGUCCUUAUUUUCUCCUCAGCAUGGGAAAGCAAAUCGCUGCUUUUAAUCCCAUUUCCAGCUCCUGCUCCAGGGGGGAGCAGCCCCAGCUCGGAGAGCCCCCGGCUCUGAAUGACCCCUGAAUGAGGAGCCUCUCAAUUAAAAGUUUCCCAUUGACGCCGCCUCAAUGAGAACGCGCUGGGGAAUUCUCCGCGCCUCAAUGGCCCCGGCCCUCGGCGAGUGUUGAGGGGCCGAUGGACUUCCCACAAUGUUUGUACACCUUCCUUUGUGGGGAUUUUUCCCUCCGCUGAGCCAGAAACCUUUAACACAUCCGCUCCCGGCGUGCCGCUCGUUGGGGACAGCGGGGACAGCGGUG
This 1319-nucleotide long non-coding RNA is filed under the name Junco hyemalis (dark-eyed junco). Its description in RNAcentral is "lncRNA (ENSJHYG00000006175.1)". Lineage: Eukaryota; Metazoa; Chordata; Aves; Passeriformes; Passerellidae. The record is from RNAcentral.